GCCGCUACAUGCGCGUUUAGUGUAUCGGUGACACGAGUCACCGAGGUGCCGAAGGGAAACCGUGAAACGUGCCGCCUGGGAAGUACGGUCGCAAGGCUGAAACUUAAAGGAAUUGGGCGGGGGAGCACCACAACAGGUGGAGCCUGCGGUUUAAUCGGACUCAACGCCGGGAAGCUCACCGGAUAAGACAGCUGAAUGAUAGCCGGGCUGAAGACUCUGCUUGACUAGCUGAGAGGAGGUGCAUGGCA
RNAcentral lists this ribosomal RNA (248 nucleotides) under uncultured archaeon. Its description in RNAcentral is "partial 16S ribosomal RNA". It matches the Rfam family "Archaeal small subunit ribosomal RNA", at positions 750 to 999 of the family's 1478-position model. The record is from RNAcentral.